Molecule: transfer RNA, 76 nt
Filed under: Butyricicoccus faecihominis
Lineage: Bacteria; Bacillati; Bacillota; Clostridia; Eubacteriales; Butyricicoccaceae
Also listed under: 2 other names
Description: tRNA-Val
Rfam family: tRNA
About the family: Transfer RNA (tRNA) molecules are approximately 80 nucleotides in length. Their secondary structure includes four short double-helical elements and three loops (D, anti-codon, and T loops).
Source: RNAcentral
GGGAGUUUAGCUCAGCUGGGAGAGCAUCUGCCUUACAAGCAGAGGGUCAGCGGUUCGAGCCCGUUAACUCCCACCA